Molecule: ribosomal RNA, 465 nt
Filed under: uncultured Klebsiella sp.
Lineage: Bacteria; Pseudomonadati; Pseudomonadota; Gammaproteobacteria; Enterobacterales; Enterobacteriaceae
Description: bacterial SSU rRNA
Rfam family: Bacterial small subunit ribosomal RNA
Source: RNAcentral
CCUACGGGGGGCAGCAGUGGGGAAUAUUGCACAAUGGGCGCAAGCCUGAUGCAGCCAUGCCGCGUGUGUGAAGAAGGCCUUCGGGUUGUACAGCACUUUCAGCGGGGAGGAAGGCGGUGAGGUUAAUAACCUCAUCGAUUGACGUUACCCGCAGAAGAAGCACCGGCUAACUCCGUGCCAGCAGCCGCGGUAAUACGGAGGGUGCAAGCGUUAAUCGGAAUUACUGGGCGUAAAGCGCACGCAGGCGGUCUGUCAAGUCGGAUGUGAAAUCCCCGGGCUCAACCUGGGAACUGCAUUCGAAACUGGCAGGCUAGAGUCUUGUAGAGGGGGGUAGAAUUCCAGGUGUAGCGGUGAAAUGCGUAGAGAUCUGGAGGAAUACCGGUGGCGAAGGCGGCCCCCUGGACAAAGACUGACGCUCAGGUGCGAAAGCGUGGGGAGCAAACAGGAUUAGAUACCCCAGUAGUC